This 2634-nucleotide unclassified non-coding RNA is filed under the name Hevea brasiliensis (rubber tree). Lineage: Eukaryota; Viridiplantae; Streptophyta; Magnoliopsida; Malpighiales; Euphorbiaceae. The record is from RNAcentral.
CUCAAAGGUCCAAAGGAAGAGAACCAGUCAUACUCUAUUGAAUAUAGACCCAAAAAAAUAAAAAAUGAUUCUUUCCACAGAGUGAAAGAGACAGAGUUUAGUGCUCCCAAUUCCCAGAUAAAUUCUCUCCUUAGAUAAGCAUUGUAAACUGAAACUACAAUUAAUUUUUUGUACAAAGUCAGCUCUCAGCUAUGACAAUCAUCACCAACAGCAAUGAUAAUGAUUACACAAGGCACCGUUAGCUUGUCUAUGUGACAGUGCAACUGCAAUUGCUACUAGUACUACCCUAGGAAUGAUCUGUUACAAAACUAUCAAAUUUCACAGAUAAAAAAAAAGUUAAGUAUUACAUGUGUGGUCCCUGGAUCAUCUCCAAUUAGCUAGUGCAAGAAAAAAAUAUAAAAUAAAAUUGUCAUUGGCUCCCACCUCCACUGCACAAACUAACUAGAUCCAUCAGGGUUGAGUACAAGAUAUCAAGAGGUAAAUACCCCAAGAACUUCCUAUAUUCAGAUGCACCAUUUGUUGUGUCCAUAUGAAGUUUCUUUUCCUCUGCAAAACCAUCUUCCAUUACUAACCACCAGGAGAUGCAUCCUUCAGCAUCUUCAGGGUCCACAUGUGCCACCAGGCUCAGUACUUCACCCUGCUCCAACUCAAAUGACAAGCAUAAAAAGUCACGGUUUGCUUUUAUUCCCACCAUAAGAGCUUCCUCAUGAAGCCAGCGAAUAACCUGGCUAGCAACCUGCUGAAGAAUUAUCACAGGAAGAUCAGCCAAGUUGCAAUCAUAUUUGUUCAUAGAACAUAUGUCAUCAGAACUGCCUUUAAAUAGGCCGACAACAUUAGGAGCACCUUCUGCUUCAACAUUGAUGCGACCAUCAUUUACUACAAUCUUAGUCCGAAAUUCUGUCUUAAUAUCGCUCUUCAUGCUUUUGACAUCUGAUGUCCGUGAUUGAGAACUUGCAUGGAUAAUGGACUGAGGAACCUUCAUGAAUAUUGUCCAAGAAGAUGUCCGAGAAUGCCAGGUGGGAUGAGAUAUUAAAUGGAGAUAUGGGACCUUGCAAGCCACAUUUUCUAGCUCCAUAAGGACUCUGUUUGAAAAUAUUCGGUGAGCCACAGACAUGCAGAAAUGACCAAGAAGACCACACCCAUCCUUUGCUGGUUGAACAGAUACACGAAUGCCAUUGGAAAGGGGUCUAUCCUUUGCUCUUAAAAAUACAUGCUCGUGAAAAAUCUGUUGAAGAUAUAUUUCAAAACUGAUAUGGUUAGGAAUGCUCGACUUCUUAUUGAGAUAUUCAUGUUUUUCUUCUGGUAACUUCACUCCAUCAAGUGAAUCUAAGGGUAAAACAGAAGAUUCUGAGAUCCGGUAGUCUCCACCAUCAACCGUUUGAUCAUCCUCAUAAGUUGGCUCAAGGGAUAUGAACACAGAAGUUCCUGGACUUAUGCUUAGUUGUAGAUAAUUUUCUUGAAUUCCAGUCACAUUGACUCCUAAAGAUUGGUUGAAGGCUUCACGGUUCACCAUAUCAAAUACUUGCUCAUCGAAGAUUGCCCGAUGAACUUCACGAAGGAGCAUGUUUGUUUCUUUUACGCAUUCAUUAUCACUUCCAGAUUCUUUUUCAGUUCCUUUUGAUGGAUGCUUAACUGAGUACAAGCUUCCAAUUUUAGUAGUUUUCUUUACAUUUUCAUUGGAAUGUACACCAAGAAAACCAAAACGAAGAGAGCGACAAGAAUUAGGAGGUAAGUUUAUAGCGAGCAUGCCAGCUGAGUCAUGGUCAAUGCGAAUGUAAGAUAGAGAAGAGGGCCGAAAUACAGAGGCUGAAUCAUAUAAAGUAUUGUCAAAAAGAUCAAUGGUGAAGCCCUCAUUACUAGGACCAGUUGCUGCCAUGCGCUGCCGUUUAACUUUCCAGUUUUGCUGCAAUCUGAUUAGAGCACCAUAAAAUCUUGCUUCCCUUGCAACUUGCUGUUCCAAGGCUUUGGCAGACUGCUUAAAAUAUUUACCAAGAUGUCGGUAACAUUGUAGCUUUGUUGCUGUAGACACAGCAAGAUCAGCCAGAUGCUCGUCGGGCAACGGCUUUGGCCUGGUCAUGCUAGCCACUGUUACAGCAUCAUUAGCUUCCACAAAAUUGAUGAGAUCUAAAACGACAGAGAGCUCCUGGUGAGCUAACUGCAAGUUCUCCACCAUGCUCUGCCAUGGCCAUGGUGUAGAGGAGCUCUCCUUUGAGCUCUUCUUCUGCUUCUUCUUCUUUUCCUCGUCUUCUUUCUCCACUGCCCAUGCAAAAUCUAUUCGGCGAAUCAGUGAAACUCUCUUCUCAUCAUAUCCAAUAUCAGUAGGGAAGCGUUCGAAGCCGUUUUCUUCAAUGGCUUCCAAGCGCUUGACAGGGAGCUUGUCGAGGGAGAUUUCUACCUUGCCAUCCAUUACCUCUGUAGAUUUUCCAGGAAAAUUGAAAAAUUUUCGAAGCAAAAGAGACCUAGAUCAGUGGGGGAAGGCAAGUGUGUACCUGGCAAGCAUAUAAGGUUAAAUAUUCGAAUACCCAUUUUGUCCCCAAACACAAAAAUGUCGUGACGAGUCGAGGACUGUAGAAGGCACUCUGCCGAUUAUGGGCUUUUUUGGGCCUGAAUAAUUUGUGUACGGCUCAAUUCGCA